RNAcentral lists this non-coding RNA (413 nucleotides) under Enterobacter sichuanensis. Lineage: Bacteria; Pseudomonadati; Pseudomonadota; Gammaproteobacteria; Enterobacterales; Enterobacteriaceae. The record is from RNAcentral.
UUUUUCAGGGUGCUCUCAAGGGGUUUGAUAUACAGACUGUUGUUCUUCAGACGGACGUCGCCUUUGGCGGUAGUCAUUUCGCCGUCCAGCGGAAUAUCAAGAUGUAAGCGAGCAUUCACAUCGCCAUCAAGCUGGAGUUGCUGCAGCGUCGCCGCCAGCGACGCUUUUAGCGGCGUCUCCUCAAAAUAGGGCCCCACGGCUUUACCCGGACCGUUGAUGUCGGCAUCAAUCAGCAGUUUCUCUUUUGAAUAGUCGGGGAUGUUUGCCGUCAGGUUGCUGGCCGUCACGCCGCCCAGCGCCACGUUGUCUGACUUCAUCCACAAUCCGUCAUUGAGGAAAUUAAGCUCAAUGUCCAGGUUUUUCAGCGCCGGCCAGCCCGGCUGGAACGCGAAGGUGGCGUUGUGUAACGGCAC